RNAcentral lists this ribosomal RNA (465 nucleotides) under Vreelandella stevensii. RNAcentral's name for it is "partial 16S ribosomal RNA". It matches the Rfam family "Bacterial small subunit ribosomal RNA", at positions 338 to 795 of the family's 1533-position model. The record is from RNAcentral. Lineage: Bacteria; Pseudomonadati; Pseudomonadota; Gammaproteobacteria; Oceanospirillales; Halomonadaceae.
CCUACGGGUGGCAGCAGUGGGGAAUAUUGGACAAUGGGCGAAAGCCUGAUCCAGCCAUGCCGCGUGUGUGAAGAAGGCCUUCGGGUUGUAAAGCACUUUCAGUGGGGAAGAAAGCCUUGGGGCUAAUACCCUCGAGGAAGGACAUCACCCACAGAAGAAGCACCGGCUAACUCCGUGCCAGCAGCCGCGGUAAUACGGAGGGUGCGAGCGUUAAUCGGAAUUACUGGGCGUAAAGCGCGCGUAGGCGGUCUGAUAAGCCGGUUGUGAAAGCCCCGGGCUCAACCUGGGAACGGCAUCCGGGACUGUCAGGCUAGAGUGCAGGAGAGGAAGGUAGAAUUCCCGGUGUAGCGGUGAAAUGCGUAGAGAUCGGGAGGAAUACCAGUGGCGAAGGCGGCCUUCUGGACUGACACUGACGCUGAGGUGCGAAAGCGUGGGUAGCAAACAGGAUUAGAUACCCUUGUAGUC